GACAAACGCUGGCGGCGUGCUUAACACAUGCGAGUCGAACGGAAAGGCCCUGCUUUUGUGGGGUGCUCGAGUGGCGAACGGGUGAGUAACACGUGAGUAACCUGCCCUUGACUUUGGGAUAACUUCAGGAAACUGGGGCUAAUACCGGAUAGGAGCUCCUGCUGCAUGGUGGGGGUUGGAAAGUUUCGGCGGUUGGGGAUGGACUCGCGGCUUAUCAGCUUGUUGGUGGGGUAGUGGCUUACCAAGGCUUUGACGGGUAGCCGGCCUGAGAGGGUGACCGGCCACAUUGGGACUGAGAUACGGCCCAGACUCCUACGGGAGGCAGCAGUGGGGAAUAUUGCACAAUGGGCGGAAGCCUGAUGCAGCAACGCCGCGUGCGGGAUGACGGCCUUCGGGUUGUAAACCGCUUUCGCCUGUGACGAAGCGUGAGUGACGGUAAUGGGUAAAGAAGCACCGGCUAACUACGUG
This 468-nucleotide ribosomal RNA is filed under the name uncultured bacterium. RNAcentral describes it as "partial 16S ribosomal RNA". It matches the Rfam family "Bacterial small subunit ribosomal RNA", at positions 28 to 507 of the family's 1533-position model. The record is from RNAcentral.